UUCCCUCUGUAUUUAACAGGAGUUGGUCCA
Molecule: non-coding RNA, 30 nt
Filed under: Rattus norvegicus (Norway rat)
Lineage: Eukaryota; Metazoa; Chordata; Mammalia; Rodentia; Muridae
Source: RNAcentral